CGGCCACACUGGGGCUGAGACACGGCCCAGACUCCUACGGGAGGCAGCAGUAGGGAAUCUUCCGCAAUGGACGAAAGUCUGACGGAGCAACGCCGCGUGAGUGAUGAAGGUUUUCGGAUCGUAAAACUCUGUUGUUAGGGAAGAACAAGUACCGUUCGAAUAGGGCGGUACCUUGACGGUACCUAACCAGAAAGCCACGGCUAACUACGUGCCAGCAGCCGCGGUAAUACGUAGGUGGCAAGCGUUGUCCGGAAUUAUUGGGCGUAAAGCGCGCGCAGGCGGUUUCUUAAGUCUGAUGUGAAAGCCCCCGGCUCAACCGGGGAGGGUCAUUGGAAACUGGGGAACUUGAGUGCAGAAGAGGAGAGUGGAAUUCCACGUGUAGCGGUGAAAUGCGUAGAGAUGUGGAGGAACACCAGUGGCGAAGGCGACUCUCUGGUCUGUAACUGACGCUGAGGCGCGAAAGCGUGGGGAGCGAACAGGAUUAGAUACCCUGGUAGUCCACGCCGUAAACGAUGAGUGCUAAGUGUUAGAGGGUUUCCGCCCUUUAGUGCUGCAGCAAACGCAUUAAGCACUCCGCCUGGGGAGUACGGUCGCAAGACUGAAACUCAAAGGAAUUGACGGGGGCCCGCACAAGCGGUGGAGCAUGUGGUUUAAUUCGAAGCAACGCGAAGAACCUUACCAGGUCUUGACAUCCUCUGACAACCCUAGAGAUAGGGCUUCCCCUUCGGGGGCAGAGUGACAGGUGGUGCAUGG
This 753-nucleotide ribosomal RNA is filed under the name Bacillus licheniformis. RNAcentral describes it as "bacterial SSU rRNA". It matches the Rfam family "Bacterial small subunit ribosomal RNA", at positions 305 to 1048 of the family's 1533-position model. Lineage: Bacteria; Bacillati; Bacillota; Bacilli; Caryophanales; Bacillaceae. The record is from RNAcentral.